GCCUUCGUGGUGUAAUGGUCAGUACACUGAGCCGGUAAUUCAGAGGUCCGUGGUUCGAUCCCCGGCGAAGGCA
Stegodyphus mimosarum is the source of this 73-nucleotide non-coding RNA. NCBI's taxonomy places the organism in Eukaryota, Metazoa, Arthropoda, Arachnida, Araneae, Eresidae. The record is from Rfam.